This 494-nucleotide ribosomal RNA is filed under the name uncultured bacterium. Its description in RNAcentral is "partial 16S ribosomal RNA". It matches the Rfam family "Bacterial small subunit ribosomal RNA", at positions 28 to 523 of the family's 1533-position model. The record is from RNAcentral.
GAUGAACGCUGGCGGCGUGCCUAACACAUGCAAGUCGAACGGAGUUAUUAUUAUGAAGUUUUCGGAUGGACUUUUAAUAACUUAGUGGCGGACGGGUGAGUAACGCGUGGGUAACCUGCCUCACACAGGGGGAUAACAGUUGGAAACGGCUGCUAAAACCGCAUAAUCAUACAUUGUCGCAUUACAGAGUGUGAAAAUAGUUAUAGGUGUGAGAUGGGCCCGCGUCUGAUUAGCUAGUUGGUAGGGUAACGGCCUACCAAGGCGACGAUCAGUAGCCGGCUUGAGAGAGUGACCGGCCACAUUGGGACUGAGACACGGCCCAAACUCCUACGGGAGGCAGCAGUGGGGAAUAUUGCACAAUGGGGGAAACCCUGAUGCAGCGACGCCGCGUGAGUGAAGAAGUAUUUCGGUAUGUAAAGCUCUAUCAGCAGGGAAGAAAUUGACGGUACCUGACUAAGAAGCCCCGGCUAACUACGUGCCAGCAGCCGCAGUAA